This 424-nucleotide ribosomal RNA is filed under the name Acanthamoeba sp. RNAcentral's name for it is "SSU rRNA". It matches the Rfam family "Eukaryotic small subunit ribosomal RNA", at positions 404 to 758 of the family's 1831-position model. The record is from RNAcentral. Lineage: Eukaryota; Discosea; Longamoebia; Acanthamoebidae.
UGGCAUCCAAUUAUAAGGAAGGCAGCAGGCGCGCAAAUUACCCAAUCCCGACACGGGGAGGUAGUGACAAUAAAUAACAAUACAGGCGCUGGAUAAGAGUCUUGUAAUUGUCAUGGGUACAAUUUAAACCCCUUAAAGAUUAACAACUGGAGGGCAAGUCUGGUGCCAGCAGUCACGGUAGUUCCAGCUCGAAGAGCGUAUAGUAAAGUUGUUGCAGUUAAAAAGCUCGUAGACCGAUUAGGAGACGUGAAUUUCAAGCACCCGUGUCGUUGGGUCAAACCAGCGACUGCGUUGCCGUUGCGGGCUCGGUCCGUCGGUGGCCACACAAAUGGCCACUGACGUGUCAACCGGCCCGCCCGUCCCCUCCUUCUGGAUUCCCGUUCCUGCUAUUGAGUUAGUGGGGACGUCACAGGGGGCUCAUCGU